RNAcentral lists this long non-coding RNA (266 nucleotides) under Lathyrus oleraceus (garden pea). RNAcentral describes it as "Pisum sativum (pea) long non-coding RNA (PSAT_LNC031815)". The record is from RNAcentral. Lineage: Eukaryota; Viridiplantae; Streptophyta; Magnoliopsida; Fabales; Fabaceae.
AAAGCCAGGUUGCACAUAUUGACAAUAAUUGAAAUUUCAUAUGCGAUUAACCAAAACGCGGCGAAAUACUAUCAAUAUAUCGAUAAAAAUAAUCAUGGAUAAAUAAUACGGGAAUUUCCAAAUCCAUAGAUUAAAAAUCGAUGUUUAAACAAUAAAAUAAAUCAAGGACAAACAUUAAAAUCAACAAGUGUCGGAAAAGUGAGAAUAAAAAUAUAAAAAGGAUUAAAAAUAAAAUACAUAAAAAUGAAAUAGUAAAAAGAAAUAAU